AUGGGAAGGACGGACGGACGGGCGACACCCUGGGCCGCGGUACCACGCCACUCCCCUUCCGGAUUUCCCGCGCGAGCGCGGCGCCGUGAUUUUACGCUCCUGCCCCCUCGACGUGACGACGGGACGUCGGGACGCUCCACCGCACUGCGCCAGCGCGUGGGCCGCACGAAGCGAGGGCAGCGGGGUAAUUUCCAGGCGCCGCCUGGCCUCGCCGGCGACAGAGGCCACACGCACGCCUACUUGUCUCUCUCCUCGCGGAAACCGGGGCAGGAUGGGUGGGGGAGUGAUUUCCAGCUGGGAUGGUGGCGCGGAGAAGCAACGCGGGUCAGCUUGACGUAG
This 339-nucleotide ribosomal RNA is filed under the name Triticum aestivum (bread wheat). Its description in RNAcentral is "partial small subunit ribosomal RNA". The record is from RNAcentral. Lineage: Eukaryota; Viridiplantae; Streptophyta; Magnoliopsida; Poales; Poaceae.